CGUCGCGAGGCGGAGUCUGAAGGAAGCCGGAGGCGAAACCUCGGCCCGAGGAACACGAACCGCAUCAGGCGGGCGCGGCGGGUGAGAUGGCCAAACACAUCGAAGCCCGAUGGCUGCACGGAAGCCACGCACGUAAAUGCGGCGGGUAUUGAGGGGAAGGGUG
Molecule: non-coding RNA, 163 nt
Filed under: bovine gut metagenome
Source: RNAcentral